Long non-coding RNA from Glycine soja, 1147 nucleotides. RefSeq lists it as uncharacterized. The transcript is spliced from 3 exons. The record is from RefSeq and is a predicted model, not a curated record. Lineage: Eukaryota; Viridiplantae; Streptophyta; Magnoliopsida; Fabales; Fabaceae.
UUUCAAAGGUUGACCUCGAGAGCUGAAAUAGAUGACAAAAAGGAAACUUGGAAGAUUGUUGUUCGAGUGAUUAACAUGUGGACCAUACCAAGAUCGCCUAAGUGUAUUGUUCAGCUAAUUUUAGUUGACAAGAAUGUCAGGCACUUAUCCGAUAUCAAUCCAGAAAUCGUGCGGGUGUGCAAGUAUGUUGAUUGGUGCAGGAAGCAAAACUGGGGUUGCUGAACCAUGGUUCAGUCUUUAAAGCGCAAAUAUUGACUCAUGAGUUUCCUUUGCAUUUCAAAACCUCAUGUGCUUCUUCCAUCAACAGUGGAAAAACCAUGGAUAAUGUGCCAAAAAUCAAGACAGAGCCUGGCUUGAAAGAUGAAAAUCAUCUACCUCACGUGGCACGACAGAGUCAUGCUCCACCAAUGUUACUGCAGACACCUUUUAACCAGACAACUAACACGUGUACAACCUCUACGCCUGAUGUUUGGUGAAGUCAAUAGGCCUUUUGCUGUUAGAUGGAAAGACCAACUUGAUCAUCACUGACAUUUAAUUAACAGACAUGACAAUCUGGAUGAUGUUGUCUACAAUAAAAAUUUGACCAGUCCAACCAUUGUGCGCGGAUGCAUGGACAACACUAAGGACUUUCUAUGGGCUCGAGGGAGAUCACUAUAUUACAUUAGCCUAUUAUGGCCAGCCUCUCUUCUUGCUAACCAUAUUCAAAACCUCCAGUGAUCCAAAAGCUUUUCUAAAAUGACACUCAUUAUACCAUCAAGUGCCAAAUUCAAUGACUUUCAAGAUGCUUCUUAAUGAAUACAAGGCCACGUGCAGUGGCUUGGUAAGAUACUUAGUUACAUACUUCAUUAAUUAACAAGCAUCUUCAUUUGUUUUUUUUAAAUUAUCCGUUAACUCAAAUUCAUUUAUUAGUUAUGGUAGGAUGUUCCAAGUUGUAUGUACUACUUUAUGAAAGAGAAACAGUUCACUCAAUUGAACAUAGCAGUGCCGAAUGUCACAUUAUUUACAAUGAUUGGCGAAAGAUAGCAAAAAUUGGAUCUGGAUGGAGAGAUUUUUCCAAAUCCCAUAGCUUCAAAGCUGGCAUGGAAUUAGUGUUUGAAUUUCCUGAUCCCAAUGUCAACUAUGCUUUCAUUUGACCUUGCUUAUAAAU